CCCAAGGAUAGGGCCGCACCCGAUCAGGUCGCUGGUGAGGUAAUGGCUCACCAGGCCUAUAACCGGUACGGGCCGUGAGAGCGGGAGCCCGGAGAUGGGCACUGAGAUAAGGGCCCAGGCCCUACGGGGCGCAGCAGGCGCGAAAACUCCGCAAUGCGCGAAAGCGCGACGGGGUCACCCCGAGUGCCGUCCGCUGAGGGCGGCUUUUGCCUGGUUUAACCAGCCGAGUGAAUAAGGGGAGGGCAAGUCUGGUGUCAGCCGCCGCGGUAAUACCAGCUCCUCGAGUGGUUGGGACGAUUAUUGGGUCUAAAGCGUCCGUAGCCGGCCGGAAAAGUUCUCCGUUAAAUCCAACGAUCCAAUCGUUGGGCCGCGGGGAAUACUCUCCGGCUUGGGGGCGAGGGAGGUCGGCGGUAGUCUCGGGGUAGGGGCGAAAUCCUAUAAUCCCGAGAGGACCACCAGUGGCGAAGGCGGCCGACUAAAGCGCGCCCGACGGUGAGGGACGAAAGCUGGGGGAGCGAACGGGAUUAGAUACCCCGGUAGUCCCAGCUGUAAACGAU
RNAcentral lists this ribosomal RNA (557 nucleotides) under uncultured archaeon. RNAcentral's name for it is "bacterial SSU rRNA". It matches the Rfam family "Archaeal small subunit ribosomal RNA", at positions 202 to 761 of the family's 1478-position model. The record is from RNAcentral.